GAAGGCUAUGUUGGCCGGGCGACGGUUGUCCCGGUUUAAGCGUGUAGGCUGGUUUUCCAGGCAAAUCCGGAAAAUCAAGGCUGAGGCGUGAUGACGAGGCACUACGGUGCUGAAGCGACAAAUGCCCUGCUUCCAGGAAAAGCCUCUAAGCAUCAGGUAACAUCAAAUCGUACCCCAAACCGACACAGGUGGUCAGGUAGAGAAUACCAAGGCGCUUGAGAGAACUCGGGUGAAGGAACUAGGCAAAAUGGUGCCGUAACUUCGGGAGAAGGCACGCUGAUAUGUAGGUGAAGCGACUUGCUCGUGGAGCUGAAAUCAGUCGAAGAUACCAGCUGGCUGCAACUGUUUAUUAAAAACACAGCACUGUGCAAACACGAAAGUGGACGUAUACGGUGUGACGCCUGCCCGGUGCCGGAAGGUUAAUUGAUGGGGUUAGCGGUAACGCGAAGCUCUUGAUCGAAGCCCCGGUAAACGGCGGCCGUAACUAUAACGGUCCUAAGGUAGCGAAAUUCCUUGUCGGGUAAGUUCCGACCUGCACGAAUGGCGUAAUGAUGGCCAGGCUGUCUCCACCCGAGACUCAGUGAAAUUGAACUCGCUGUGAAGAUGCAGUGUACCCGCGGCAAGACGGAAAGACCCCGUGAACCUUUACUAUAGCUUGACACUGAACAUUGAGCCUUGAUGUGUAGGAUAGGUGGGAGGCUUUGAAGUGUGGACGCCAGUCUGCAUGGAGCCGACCUUGAAAUACCACCCUUUAAUGUUUGAUGUUCUAACGUGGGCCCCUUACCGGGGUUGCGGACAGUGUCUGGUGGGUAGUUUGACUGGGGCGGUCUCCUCCUAAAGAGUAACGGAGGAGCACGAAGGUUGGCUAAUCCUGGUCGGACAUCAGGAGGUUAGUGCAAUGGCAUAAGCCAGCUUGACUGCGAGCGUGACGGCGCGAGCAGGUGCGAAAGCAGGUCAUAGUGAUCCGGUGGUUCUGAAUGGAAGGGCCAUCGCUCAACGGAUAAAAGGUACUCCGGGGAUAACAGGCUGAUACCGCCCAAGAGUUCAUAUCGACGGCGGUGUUUGGCACCUCGAUGUCGGCUCAUCACAUCCUGGGGCUGAAGUAGGUCCCAAGGGUAUGGCUGUUCGCCAUUUAAAGUGGUACGCGAGCUGGGUUUAGAACGUCGUGAGACAGUUCGGUCCCUAUCUGCCGUGGGCGCUGGAGAACUGAGGGGGGCUGCUCCUAGUACGAGAGGACCGGAGUGGACGCAUCACUGGUGUUCGGGUUGUCAUGCCAAUGGCACUGCCCGGUAGCUAAAUGCGGAAGAGAUAAGUGCUGAAAGCAUCUAAGCACGAAACUUGCCCCGAGAUGAGUUCUCCCUGACUCCUUGAGAGUCCUGAAGGAACGUUGAAGACGACGACGUUGAUAGGCCGGGUGUGUAAGCGCAGCGAUGCGUUGAGCUAACCGGUACUAAUGAACCGUGAGGCUUAACCUU
RNAcentral lists this ribosomal RNA (1475 nucleotides) under Escherichia coli. RNAcentral's name for it is "partial 23S ribosomal RNA". It matches the Rfam family "Bacterial large subunit ribosomal RNA", at positions 1477 to 2925 of the family's 2925-position model. The record is from RNAcentral. Lineage: Bacteria; Pseudomonadati; Pseudomonadota; Gammaproteobacteria; Enterobacterales; Enterobacteriaceae.